This is a non-coding RNA of Punica granatum (pomegranate), 301 nucleotides long. The record is from RefSeq and is a predicted model, not a curated record. Lineage: Eukaryota; Viridiplantae; Streptophyta; Magnoliopsida; Myrtales; Lythraceae.
CUUCUCCAUUCUCUUCCCCCUUUCUCGACUCCAUCAUUCUCCUUCCAACGAGCACUAGCUGCACGGCUCCCCUGGGAUUGUCCUUGACUCAAUUCCAUCAUUCUCCUUCCGACGACAACGAGUACGGUUUUAACAGGGUACCUAAAAUAUGUGAUUAAUACAGAUUCCAAGGAGGUUCCGAUUUCAUGACUCAACAUGGUAAGGUCCAAUUUCAAAAUCUUGAAACAUGUCCCUUAUUGGGUAUGGUUCGAAUAUCGUGAAAAAAAAAAAGUAUCUAGACCCGCACGGGCCUAGUGAGAAA